This is a long non-coding RNA of Pan troglodytes (chimpanzee), 2048 nucleotides long. RefSeq lists it as uncharacterized. The transcript is spliced from 8 exons. The record is from RefSeq and is a predicted model, not a curated record. Lineage: Eukaryota; Metazoa; Chordata; Mammalia; Primates; Hominidae.
UGGUGCCCUGUGUCCAAGCUGUUUCAGCCAUGACUAAAAGAGGGCAAGGUACAACUCAUGCCAUGGCUCCAGAGGGUGCAAGCCCCAAGCCUUGGAAGCUUCCAUGUGGUGUUGAACCUGCAGGUUCACAGAAAUCAAGAGUUGAGGUUUAGGAAUCUCUGCCUAGAUUUCAGAGUAUGUAUGAAAAUGCUUAGAUGUCUAGGCAGAGGUAUGCUGCAGGGGAGAGGCCCUCAUGGAGAACCUCUGCUAGGGCAGUUAGGAAGGAAAAUGUGGGGUUGGGACCCCCACGCUGAGUCCCUAAUGGGCCUCUGCCUCGUGAAGCUGUGAGAAGAGGGCCACUGUCCACCAGACCCAAAAAUGUUAGAUCCACUGACAGCCUGCAGUGUGCCUGGAAAAACCACAAACACUCAACACCAGCCUGUGAAAGAAGCCAGGAGAGAGGCAGUUGUACCCUACAAAGUCACAGGGGCCAGCCUGCCCAAGGUCGUGGCAGUCCAGCUCUUGCAUCAGAGUGACCUGGAUGUGAGACAUGGAGUCAAAGGAGAUCAUUUUGGAACUUUAAGUUUUAAUGAGUGCGCUAUUGGAUUUCAGACGUUCAUGGGGCCUGUAACCACUUUGGUUUGACCAAUUUCUCACAUUUGGAAUGGAUGUACUUACACAAUGCCUGUACCCUCAUUGUAUCUAGGAAGUAACUAACUUACUUUUGGUUUUGCAGGCACAUAGGCAGAAGAAACUUGUCUUGUCUCAGAUAAGACUUUGGACUUGGACUUCUGAGUCAAUGCUGGAAUGAUUCUCUUGCCUGCCACCAUGUAAGAUAUGCUUUUACUCUUCCGCCUUCCACCAUGAUUGUGAGGCCUCCCCAGCCAUGUGAAACUGCCUUUGAGCUUAUACUGAAUUAUACCACCAGCUUUCCUAGGUCUUGAAGCUUACAGACAGCAGAUCUUGGGACUUCUCAGGCACCAUAAUCAAUCAUAGAUAAAUGAUCCAAUGAUUCAGAACUUGAAAAGUGGUAGCUUUAUGAAUUCUCCUUAAGAAGAAACCUGUGCCCUGAUCUUGCCUACUCACCCAAAGGCACUGUGAGAUAGCAUCAAAGGAACAGCUAGUAAGAGACACAGAGCCAGAAAUCAGGGAAGUAAAAUACACUUGACAUCUACGUUUGGAAAGAAAUUUUAGGAGGCAGAAGCAAAUGGAUCAGAAGCUGCUUAUAUUUUUGCAAGAUUACCAAAGAAACCAUUGGUGGAGAAAGUUCUGUGACCAACUUGUCUGAGUCUAGUAAGAUUGAACGCUCACACACAAGUUUCAUGAAGUGGGUUUGAUACUUACAGAUAAGCAGCAAGGACCAACAGGAGCUGAUGAUCUAUGGUGAACUUUUUCCCAAGGCUCCGGAAAGCUGCCUAAAGUAGAUGGAGUCUUCUCUGUGUGUGCCCCACUGGUCCUGCAGUUGAAGGAUCCGGUAAAGCAGCCUGCCCUGGGUUUUAUACUCCAGAGGAACGUGAUUCGCUGGACUAUAGCAUUGAAGUGCAUCCUGUUUCCGGGGGGCACUGGAACAGAGCCUGGUCUGUUCUAGCCAGUCCCUUUCUAUCUCAGGAUGUUGCAUUCCCAGUACAUUCUACAGUUAUUCUUGAGAACUAUAAUCAAAUAAGGAGGGAGAACUGGGAAAGCAGAGACUCACUGUGGAACCCUCAAGGAGCAUGUGGUCAUCUUCAUCCUUCAGUUUAUAAAUGGCCAAGGAGAGUAAUGCAACAAAAACUUCUCAGAGUUAAGAGCCAGAGUUCCUAAAGAACCGUGGACAAAGGGUUCUGUCUAGUGGGCAGAAUUCAUCCAGCGAAGGUCUCCUAACUACAGAGGGUCACAUCUGGAUCUGAUGGCACCUACAGAACUUGGACUCUGAGCGACAAUCAGUGACCAGGAAAUUUGGAACCCAGGUUUUCCCAACCUACAUCUACAAAAUGGAAUGGGUCUGAUUCGCAAGUUUUCAGAGAAAGAAGCCAACCUUAAUCAGACUGUGAUAUGAUGAGGAAAUAAAACUUGCUGUGCUAAUCAACUGA